RNAcentral lists this ribosomal RNA (253 nucleotides) under uncultured bacterium. RNAcentral's name for it is "partial 16S ribosomal RNA". It matches the Rfam family "Bacterial small subunit ribosomal RNA", at positions 524 to 776 of the family's 1533-position model. The record is from RNAcentral.
UACGUAGGGGGCUAGCGUUGUCCGGAAUCAUUGGGCGUAAAGAGCGUGUAGGCGGUCCGGUAAGUCCGCUGUGAAAGUCGGGGGCUCAACCCUCGAAUGCCGGUGGAUACUGUCGGGCUAGAGUGCGGAAGAGGCGAGUGGAAUUCCUGGUGUAGCGGUGAAAUGCGCAGAUAUCAGGAGGAACACCUAUUGCGAAGGCAGCUCGCUGGGACGUAACUGACGCUGAGGCACGAAAGCUAGGGGAGCAAACAGG